Molecule: small RNA, 553 nt
Filed under: Pan troglodytes (chimpanzee)
Lineage: Eukaryota; Metazoa; Chordata; Mammalia; Primates; Hominidae
Description: retained intron
Source: RNAcentral
GUUUGCAGGGCAGUAGAGGAGCUGCUGCGCUGCGGCGCGGACCCUAAUUUGGUGCUAGAGGACGGCUCAGCGGCUGUGCACUUGGCGGCCGGAGCCCGGCACCCGCGCGGCCUGCGUUGCCUCGGGGCCCUACUGCGCCAAGGCGGGGACCCCAACGCUCGAUCUGUCGAGGCACUGACGCCGCUGCAUGUGGCCGCCGCCUGGGGCUGCCGCCGCGGCCUGGAGCUGCUGCUGAGCCAAGGAGCGGACCCGGCGCUGCGCGACCAGGUUGGGAGGCACUGCGCGGGCAAAGAAAGGCUGGGUGAGCCCAGAGGGAGGGAAGGAAGGUAAAGGGCCUCGGGCGCCCCCUGCUGACCGCGCCCCUGUAGGACGGACUCCGGCCGCUGGACCUGGCCCUGCAGCAGGGACACCUGGAGUGCGCGCGAGUCCUGCAGGAUCUUGACACGCGGACCGGGACCCAGACCCGGGUCGGGGCAGAGACUCAGGAGCCCGAGCCUGCACCUGGCAGUGAGUAGGGCCUGCAGGGCUGCUGGGGCUUGACUUCUGGACCAGU